Non-coding RNA from Zonotrichia albicollis (white-throated sparrow), 8487 nucleotides. Lineage: Eukaryota; Metazoa; Chordata; Aves; Passeriformes; Passerellidae. The record is from RefSeq and is a predicted model, not a curated record.
UCCUGCUGACUGGGCUGUUACUGAUGUUGUGAAUUAUUUCAGAACAGCUGGAUUUGAAGAACAAGCCAGUGCUUUUCAGGAACAGGUUUGCUCUUUACAAGCUGCCAAAGCAUGCCAAAGGACAGAUUCCCCUGCUGGGUCUGGAAUACCUGUACAUGGAUGCUCUGACUCCACAGUGGCAGCUUGGUAAACACCUCAUCAACAUGAGCCAGGGUGCUCUGGGACAAACACUGCAGCAGCUCUAUGAGACAUACGAAUCCAAGAGGAACACCACUGCAUAUGCAAUAUACAACGAUGAGAUCCCUGAAUCAGACUCCAAAGGAUCAAAAUGUGGACACACCAAAGGAUUUCUGCUCUUGGAUAAAUCACAAGGCUUCUGGGUGAUUCACAGUGUGCCCCUGUUCCCUCCCAGCCCUGAGGAUGGUUAUGGAUAUCCAUCUACUGGGGAGUCCUUUGGACAGACAGCCAUCUGUAUAACCUUCAAAUAUGAUCAGUUCACAGAAAUAGACCAACAGAUGUUGAGUUACAAUCCAGGAAUCUACAGCUGUUCCAUCCCUGACAGCUUCCAAGCUGAUCUCCCAAAUCUCCAGAAACUCUGUGCAAAGUCCAGGCUGCCCUCACCCCCCUUGCACCGCCUCUCCAAGCUCCAGUCAGCUCAGGGGGAAACCUUUCUCCACUUUGCAAAGUCACACUUGUUCAUAGAUGAUAUCUAUGUGGCCUGGAUGGCUCAGGAACUGAAGACUGAUUUGUUGGCUGAAUCCUGGCAGCGUUCUGGCGAAAAGCUUUACUCAAAUUGCUCUCUUGACUACCACGUCUACAACAUAAACAUAAUAGGGAUGCCUUUGAACUCCACCUUCCAUUCCAUUAAUGAUCAUUCCAAAUGGGCUGUUUCAAGGAAAUACAAAGAUCAGUGGACAUGCAUUGGAGACUUGAACCGUGCUGCUGAGCAAGCUUGGAGAAGUGGUGGGUUCAUCUGUACCCAGAAUGAACAGAUCUACAAAGCCUUCAGGCAUUUGAUAAUCCACUAUGAAAGCUGCACUUCUGCUCCCAGAGACCUCUAACAAACAUUCCUCCCAACCAGCACAGCCCUUGUUACAUGGGAAGUGUAGGAAAUCUCUCUCUCUCUGAACUGUAUUUUCACUCUGAAAAGCAGCCCUGUGAGUUUCCAGAUAUGCUAGGCCAUCCUCUUGUUAGCUGUAGGAGCAGGUGAAGGGCAGCUGCUUUCCUGUGCUGUGGGGCCCUCAGGGGGUGUGUGCUGGGCCCUGCUCUGCUCCCUGGCUCCUGUCACCAGCCUGGAUGGCAUGGCAUGGCAUGGCAGGGACAGUGCUGCACGGGGCUGCACCAAAGCACAUCUCUGUGCACACCCUGACGGGCAUCCCCGGGCACCUUGGGAGUGGGGCUGGGCCUGGGAUGGGAGGGACAACAGAAACCUCUCCCUUGAACUGGGCUGUCAGCACUGCCAGGUAGCAAGGGAUAAGCACCCCCAAGAACUUCAGAACUGCCCUGGAUUUCUGGCACUGUUGAGAUAAAUCACAGCAUUUCUGCUCAGCUUGGGCUGAAUCUCUAAAAGAGCUGAGAAAAUUAGACCCAGACAGGGAGAUGAGUAGAUCUGAGGACAGGAAGGCCUCAUUUUUACAUGAUUCAUUUUUAGAAAAUUAAUGAACUUUAAAUCAUCUUCAAAUUAUCUGUAACCAAUAGCUUGGAAAUAUUUCUAGUGCUUCUAUUAAUGUACAGCAAUUUUAUAAACAAAUAAACAUGUUCAAAAUAUGAAUAAGCAAAACAAGGAGUAACAAUAGUCUGUUUGCAUUCUCCCUUUCCCAUCUGUAUAGUUAUUUGUGGUUGGUUAAAAUGUUUUAUGGCUGCCAAAGGAAAAAUGAAGACAAUUAGGAAAAAUUAUAAAGAGAAGAAUAUAUUUGAAGAAAGAUGUUAUUUAACCUACAUUUUCACAUUACAACAAAGAUGGCUGUAAUUUUCAAUAUCUCUACUCUCAGGCUUAGGAGCUGAAGUUUGCAUAGUCUUGCUAUAAAGACAAAGCUGAUUUGCAAACUCCCAAUACACUCUUGUGUUCAGAUUUCAGAAGUGUAUCUGUGUUUAAUAUGUUCCUAAAUAUAUUUCUAUGUUUCUGUCUCUUCUUUUCCUGAAUUGCUAAUAUAAACUCCAGUCUGAAGAUCUGGCUGUCCCACUGAUAUUUCUGUUUUGCUGUGUUUGUAGUCCCCACUACUGAUCCUCCACGGAAGUAGAUGCCAAACACACAAGAAACAUCUGCCUGUCCCAGUGAUUCUGUGCUGCCUCUGCUGCCCGCUGCAACCCUUUUGACUGGACAGACUGGUUCCUGCCAAAGGGGACACAUGGCAUGGUCCCUCUGCAGUUUCAGGGAGAUCUGCUCAGCAAAAUUGACUCUGCAGAAGUGCCCAAACACUGGACCCUGGCUUGGAGAGAGAAGAAAGCUGCUGUCUGGUGUGGAAACCUGGAGUCUCUUCUCAGCAUGCAGGCAAAAACUUUAAUAAAGGAAUAGGUCUACUGCAACAAAGGAAACAACAGCAAGAAACAGAGACAAGGACACAUCCUAGCCCCAUUAAUAUCAGCAGGAAUUUGCCUUCAUCUUCAGUGGGAACAGAACUUCAAAGACAUGGGAAUCACCCAUACAACCUGAAGGGUAAAAUCGGAACCUUCCAUAGUCUCUGACACAAGCUGUGUUUGAGGGUGGUGGGGUAGUCCUGACACCAUGAAAAUGUCCCCAGCAGGACUGCAUGACCUUGGCCUGGCUGUGACCUUGUCCCUGGCACUGGCAGGUGUUGUUAGGACAGACCUCAGAGAGCUCAUUCCUUGACAGAAGAACCUCCCUGAGGCCCAUGAGCUUGGCACAGGUGAAGCUCCUGUCUCUCUUUGCUCAUGGCUGUACUUUCAGUGCCCAAAUCAGGAUGAAGUGACAUCCCCACCUUUAUUGGUACGUUUUUUUAUGUCUCAGUAGCUUAAGAUAUUCUUUCAAAGCCUAUCUCUGGCAGAAUGAAAGCUCUAUCUCCUCAGUCCUGAUUUGUGUUGUUUGAACUGAGGAAGACGAGUGGUGUGGAUAUAAAGAAUAGUUUCUUCUCUAGGAAGAUUUAAGAUCUCCCCUGAAGACUAAGAACAUAUUUAAGUGCACAUGGCCUGCUAAAUGCUGGGAAUGAGGGAAAGCCAGGAUGAGGGGACUCUUUCCUGGGCAACUCUGCAGGUCUUGUUUUGGUACUCACACCAUACAGCAAGUAAAAAUGCAAAGAAGAGAUGUGCUAACAACAGAAUUAGUUUUCCUGUCCUUCCUUUGGAUGACUCCUAGUGCUUCUUCCAUUCCUGGGAAUGCAUAAUAUGACAUGGUAUCAAGUUGCUGGAUGAAAAUAUGUAUAAUGUACAGCCUGGGAAGGUUGCUACACUCUUGAUGAGUUUAUUUGCUCCUUAUAGUCAUAUUUUAGCUCUGUGAGAAAAAGUUCCCCUCUGUCCUUCAUUAUUUACUGGUCACCAAAGUAAGUCUGACAAUACAGACUCUUUCAAAUAAACCAGAUUCCAGAGAACAGUAGGAAAAUGUUCCAUGGGAGUGUGUACCCUAACUAAGGCCCCUCCAUCAAUUUCUAAUUAUAUUUCAUGUUUUGUAUGGUGUCUGCACCCCCAGACCACUGCAGCCAUAUCAGGAAAGCAAUGGCAAGCACUUUCAGAAAAGCCCCUUUAAAAGAGAUGUGCUUAGCACGUUUGCUUGUCUGUGUUCUAUACAGCAGUGAUUUUGUGUUUCUGCGUGUAAAGAGUUCUGUGGACAACCUUUAUUAAAGCCACAAACAUGACUACAAAAUACAAGUUUAUGCAUGUUUUCCAUACAUUAAAUUUCUUAAGGAAUCUGAAGCCUCUCCUGCAAAACUAUAAGAACAUUUCAAAACCUGUGCUCUUUACAAGUCAGACCCAUAUUGUAUGUCAAAAUAUACAGCUGGGGUUUUUUGAAAGAGCAAGCACUCCUCAGGAUCCUGCAGGUACAGAGAACUUGGGAUUUCAAUACUUUUUAAUAAUAAAAUGUAAUAUUUGUUUAAUGCUAAAUUCCUCUGAGUUUCAGUGCCCUUAUUGUUCACUACCAGCACAUAUAUAAUCAGCCUAAGAAAGGAGGAGCAGAGCAUGUUGUUUGGCUGUUUUGAGAAUCAUAGAACAAUGCUAUUUGAGUCUGUGGGUUUAGCUUGGUAGUCCAUCUGAAAUGGCUGUCAGUGAGACAGAUAGUACAGGAAAGGUGAAACACUGUAUUUCAGAUAAGAAACUCAUCUGUAUUUCAUGGUUCCUGUCUCCUCUGGGAAUAUGAGGCCAGGGCUUUGUGGGAUCGAGUGACACUCCUGAACAUAACACUGCUGAGCUUAGAGCAGUGUGGUAAAGGCAAAGUGACACUGAGUAUCUUUGUGGCCCUUACCACUUCUACCAUAAACAAGGUGUCUUUCCUAAGCAGGGGAAGUUGCAAGGGCACACAGCAUUUGAAGUCCAGUUUAAUUUAAAUGUAGUACUGCAUAAAUUAAUAAGAUGAACACAGUAAAAAUUAGAAGAGCCAAACUUUAAACAAAUUUAUGAGUGCACUGUACAAAUUAAUACAUAUUUGUGCAAAGUAGCCAGGAGAAGAAAAAUAUGUUUCCUCUAAAAGGAUGUAGGUGUGGCUACUGCAGUGUACGAAGGAGAUUAAAAAAAAAUCCUGUUGUUGUGUUGUGUUUGAAGUAUUAAUUAGAGUCUGGCGUCAGCUUUGAAUGAUAACUAUUACUUUCUUCACACAGAUUUUCUAAGCUUGAGAGACCAGUUUUCAAAAGCUCUCUAGCAAAGCUAUUAUCUUACCAGCAUUACUUUGUCAGAAGAAUCUGUGAAAGGUUCAUCACUGAGGGUGAGUCUGGUUUUUUCAGUAUCUUCUCAGGAAUUGCCUUCAAAAAUGAAAGUCAGCUUUUCUGACAGUAAUCUUUCAUAAUUACAGAUGAAAAUUACGCAGUUGGCAAAUUCUCAACAGCCUUGGAAAUUGGACCUAAUACAUUCAAAGGCACAAGCCUUUAAAGUAUUUCACACUUAGACAGUUAGCCAAUAUUCUCAAUUAGAAUACAUGCUUUUGUUCUUAAAGAAAACCACCCCUGCUAUUUAUUUCACUGCUGAUACAGGUUUGUAUCUGUUAGUGCUUUGAAUUUCCUGAUUUGGAUACUCCCAGAAGGAGUACUUCUAUAUAGCACCCUGUCCCAGAUAACUUAAUACAGAAAAGGGUUCCAGUAAGUCUUGUACAUGGAUGUAUGAACACACUGUAUAUAAAAAGAAAUGUACACCUGCAGAGCUCUGGUAUUGUGAAAUACAGCAUUCAAAAGUGCUUAGCUCCCUGAAGUAUGAUGGCUCUUCAUUUGAUCUAGGAUAUGCAGGAGUGGUACAGAUAAGAUGUGUGCCUAUGGGUGGAGGGAAAAAGAGUAUUUUAUAUUAAGAGACUCAAAUGGUUCCUUUCCUUCCUUCUGCGGGUGCUCUUCCAGUACACUACAGCAGUUCUGCUGCUGAAUAAUUUUUCUGAGUUCGACCUGUUAUUAGUCACAAGAUUAUCCCAGCUUCAUGCUGAGCCUUUACCUAGGCUUAGUUACAAGGGUUUUCUCAAAACCUGGUGAAAUGCUUUUCACCCUCAGUACAUAGCUUGGUUUCUGCACACAGUGUUCUGCUGUGGAUAUGUAAUGGACAUAUGCGAUGUCUUUUCCAAAUCACAGCAGGUGGAAGCCUGCUUUGAGACUACACUGGAACAUCCAGUAACACUGACAUUUUAGGCAGUGGCUGUUAAAAGUUCUUGGAAAAGCAAGAAGUGCUUAAAGGUCAGAGGGUUCAGGACGUUAGCAGGAGCUUAACUGGCAUCAAACCAUGGCACAAGAAAAAGUGUGAAGAGGGUAUUCUUCUGCAGCUUGCUUUUUGAAAUGAGAAAAAUGGAAACAAUUUAUGAAUGUAAACAGGAAGGGAACAGCACUUUUCAAAGAGCUUUGAACUGCAGAGCUGUGGAGUGCCCGCUUCUUCUCAAGGCAGAAUAAUACCUAGAAGCUCAGCCAGUGGGUGAGGGCAUUGCACUGACAUCUCACCUGAAACAGCAGAGGUAUCCCUUUUAAUUUCUGCCAACACACUUGAAGGAAUGAAAGAUCUUGAGCCCAAAGGAAAGGAAAUUUUAGUGUCCCCUAAAGGAUGGACUGCUUCCUGAUGAGAAAGUGCUAAAGAUGUGCUGCUCUCUGUGCAAAGCUGAAGGGGUGCCCAGAGAAACAACAGCACAUCCAACAGGUGUGGUUAAUCCUUGUCAGGGAAGCAGGCUCUUCCCAGGACUACUGAGCAAAAUACGGCUGAAAGAACAAGUGAGAACAGAACUUUUAAUUAAAUAUUAGCUUCAGCCUGGAUAAAAACUUGAAAAAUUAUACAUUUAUUUAUUAAAAAAAAAAUCUAGAAUGACAUGCUAAAAAUCCUCAUCAAAGACCUGUAAAGAGACUCCAAUCAUCGGAGCAGUAUAUUCUGCUUAAGAUUUAAAAAAUGUACAACAGAAUUUGGUCUUGAUAAAUAACUUGUGUGCAGGAUCUGGAGCAGUUUUGUUGGGAUCUCCAGCAAUGCCAUCACUCCAUCUCUAAAUGAUUUUGAGGUUGGUGUCAUAUCAGCAGUAUCAAGCCUGCAGGCUGUGUAACAAGCUAAUGAUGCAACACUUGAGGAUGAAGGUGGAGGUGCUGCUAGAAUGACAGAGCCCCACCACACACAAACAGUAAGAACCAACUGAGAUUACGCGAGGCUGCAAUCAAACAUGAACCAUUAAAGACACUGCUUAUUAAAAACACAGACCCAACUAAACUGAAUUUAUAUAAACUAUCUAAUUAACAGAUUAGAAAACCUGAUAUGACCUGUGUGAUCUUCUAGUCUGACUUCUGGCAUAAUGGAGAGCAGAUUUUCCUGAACUCAUCCUGUCCAAACUAGAUUGUAUCAUCUUAAGGGGGGCACAUAUAUCUUGAUAUAAAUAUCAACAGGAAAUUUACUAUAAUUCUUGGUAGCCCUCUCAAUGGUUAAUUAUGGGUAACUAUAAAUUAAGAUUGCAGGUCUUGGAUCUUUGUCUGCCUGAGCUAAGGCAUGAAUUUUUAAAUGAAUAUUUACACCAUAGAAUGGUACAUAAAGGGCCCCCAUUAACUUUCUCUUUGAUAAACUAACUAGGUGGAACUUCUUGAACCCCACAUUCGAAGGAGAGUAUCCUUUAAUCAUGUCUCAUCUCUACUCUAUGGAAUCCUUCUAAUUUUUCAUCACUCUUUUGAAUUUAGGACCCAGAUCCUGAACAACAUUCCACCUUUCCUUGCAUUGGUACCAGAUAAAGACGAAGUAUAAAUCUCUUUAUCCUUUCUGAAUAUUUACUUCCUUGGGCAAUCGAGUUACUUUCCAUAUUCUGAUCACCAUGGAAGAGAAGUAGCAAUUGUGAUCUGAUAAAAUUCCUUUUCAGUGACUUUUCUUCCCAGCAGAGGACUUCCUAGGAGAUUUGCUGGGCCCUUGUUUGUUCUUUCUGAAAUAUAUAUUCUGCAUCUUUAUUUGGAUAGGGCAGAAAGGCUCUCUCAGUGAUUUUGUAGAAGAAUAAGGUUCAAAGGGAUGUAUCAGAGAUUACCACGAAGUAUUUGUGAUGAAAGAGACUGGGGACAGGACAGAUCUCCUGAAUCCCAUACUGGCACUACAGUACUGCACAUUUCCAUGUGAGGCUGAAGGACAGAGGCCAUGGCCAGAUGCAUUGUCAGCUGAUGGAUACAAUCCUGGGAUCAGAUUGAAUUCUGCCAUUUCUUUCCAGAUGUAUCUCAAAGUCACCUGAUGAAAUAAAAAAACGGGGUUUGAACCAUUGAGUCUAACUCUCUCCUGCCAUGCCUUCUCUUUCAUAAAUAAUUCCAUGCAAGCUUAGGAAAUAAAGUAUUUUUCCAAACAGGAGAAAAAAAGUGAUCAAUUUGGAAACACAGACAAAGGAAAUAUUAUUUUAGUUAAUCCUUCCUUGUCAAUUUGUAUGUAACUUUUACUGAAAUGUGCUUUUAAUUCUGUCCUCUGUCUCUUACUCCAGAGAACAGAGAUUGUCUCCAGCAUCAGUCUGUGCUGGGCAAAACAUCAAACUUGUUGAACCGUGCAGACCAAGCAGAAGAAAUCCUGUGAUAAAAAGUCCAAUGUAAGACCAAAUCUCAUCAUGAGUUUCAUUUCUUUGUUCAGUCAAACCCUGUGCACCAGUCAGGAUUGGCUCUCACAAGCUUCCACUGUAAAAUUAUACAAAAGAGGCUGAAAUCUAGGCCACAGCUAGAAAUAAUUCUUAGGAAGCUCUCUGGAUUUCCUGGAGGGUAAGGUGUGGCUCUGUGUGUGGGAGGUAAACGCCAGUGUUUUUCUGUUACCAAUAAUUAUGUGCAGCUUGAGUUUCAGUAAUAAGAGCUACAUAUGCAUGCUGGAAAAAAAGAGUUUAUCUUACACUGGGAUUAUACAUUCCAAGAUAAAUGUCUUACAUUGCUUUUA